This 350-nucleotide ribosomal RNA is filed under the name uncultured bacterium. RNAcentral describes it as "bacterial SSU rRNA". It matches the Rfam family "Bacterial small subunit ribosomal RNA", at positions 8 to 354 of the family's 1533-position model. The record is from RNAcentral.
AGAGUUUGAUCAUGGCUCAGAUUGAACGCUGGCGGCAUGCCUAACACAUGCAAGUCGAACGGCAGCACAGUGGUAGCAAUACCAUGGGUGGCGAGUGGCGAACGGGUGAGUAAUGCGCCGGAACGUAUCCAGUAGAGGGGGAUAACGCAGCGAAAGCUGUGCUAAUACCGCAUACGCCCUGAGGGGGAAAGCAUGGGAUCUUCGGACCAUGCGUUAUUGGAGCGGCCGACGUCUGAUUAGCUAGUAGGUGAGGUAAAGGCUCACCUAGGCGAUGAUCAGUAGCUGGUCUGAGAGGACGAUCAGCCACACUGGGACUGAGACACGGCCCAGACUCCUACGGGACGCAGCAG